UACGAAGGGGGCUAGCGUUGCUCGGAAUCACUGGGCGUAAAGGGUGCGUAGGCGGGUCUUUAAGUCAGGGGUGAAAUCCUGGAGCUCAACUCCAGAACUGCCUUUGAUACUGAAGAUCUUGAGUUCGGGAGAGGUGAGUGGAACUGCGAGUGUAGAGGUGAAAUUCGUAGAUAUUCGCAAGAACACCAAUGGCGAAGGCGGCUCACUGGCCCGAUACUGACGCUGAGGCACGGAAAGCGUGGGGAGCAAACAGG
This 254-nucleotide ribosomal RNA is filed under the name uncultured bacterium. RNAcentral's name for it is "partial 16S ribosomal RNA". It matches the Rfam family "Bacterial small subunit ribosomal RNA", at positions 524 to 776 of the family's 1533-position model. The record is from RNAcentral.